GCGGAGGGUCACCGCUGCUGCUUGCUUCUCUUUGGUAUUCUCCGCUGCCGUUGCCGCUCUCUUGUAAAGCUCAGUCAUCGCUUCGUUUUCUCGUGCGCGCGUGGCAGCAUGCCCGUUUCUCGUCGUUCGACAGUUGUCUCGCCCCCCUUGAUGGUGGGAGGGGGAGACGGAGGACGCCGCCGUGAGCGGUAUCGCAGGGCCCAGUGCACCUCCCACUCUGUCUGCGGGGGGAGGGGGGGGGCUGGGCAGCCCCUCCUCUAUCCCCCCUCAUCGCUGCCAACGCCGAACCACUUCUGGUGGUGACAGGGCCAGGCACCCACGACACGGUGUGGAGGACAGAGCGAUGAAUCGCUGCUGACGUCGGCGGCCCGGUCCUGGGUGGGGUGGCGUCGGAGCGCCCCGCGACCGUGAAGAGGUCUGUGCCACACCCACCUGAUAGGCAGAGUGCCCGCGUGACUCGAGCGUGUGUCCCACCGGGCCCCUCGCAGGGCCGACGGCUGGUGUGGGGCGCCGGAGUGCCACCCCGGGGGAGAUGCACCCGGUGGCGACCGGCAUAGUGGGGUGGGUAGAGUUUUUAGGCGCCGGGGCCGUGCUGUCCGAUGAACGGGUCGGCGCAUUGCUGUGCCGGCGUGUGUCUACGGCUGCUCUGCACCGCGCGAUGGGCCCUGUGACAGGCCAGGGGAGGAGGUGGGGAGGGGGAGAGGAGUCACGCGGAGUUGGACCUCCUGCUGUGUGGCAGAGCGAAUGGACGCAUCAAGGAAGAGAUAAAGAAAAGAAAACCAUGUGUCCGGUCAACUUCGCUUGUGUCACUUCUCUCUGUGCCAACAACAUCGCUCAUGUAAUGAAUGAUGCUGAUGGUAGUGUGCGUGUGAGCUUUACUUCUGCUUCUUGUUUUAUCUCGCCGUUAUCUCCUGGUACCCCUCGUGGUGGUGGUAUUGGCUGUCCUCUUUCCUCGUCCUUUUCGUGGCUUUCCCUUCCCGUCCCUUGCAG
RNAcentral lists this unclassified non-coding RNA (990 nucleotides) under Leishmania donovani. Its description in RNAcentral is "gene:unknown". Lineage: Eukaryota; Euglenozoa; Kinetoplastea; Trypanosomatida; Trypanosomatidae. The record is from RNAcentral.